GGGGUUGUACUGGUUUCGACAGGGGUUUCGAAGUAGCAGUAGCCAUCCGUGGACUCUGACCACGUUAAAACGGAGAAAUUAAAAUUAAACGCAGAAGAUAAUUACGCGUUAGCAGCCUAAGGGCUGCUCGUCAGGAACGGGAGACUCGCAUACCGUACACCGGCGCCAACCUAUGCGGGAGACUCUGCGGCUUAAGCUUUGCGGUUGCAGAAGAUUUAUGAAGCUACCGAGUCGGGAAGCCUGUUUGCGGGCGUCUUGACGAGGGAAUCCUUAAUACGCAGACUGUGAUGGAAGAAGCUGUUAUGGAAGGGCUUUUGGACGGGGGUUCGAUUCCCCCCAGCUCCAU
Molecule: small RNA, 346 nt
Filed under: bovine gut metagenome
Description: transfer-messenger RNA
Rfam family: transfer-messenger RNA
About the family: Bacterial tmRNA, also known as 10Sa RNA or SsrA, is named for its dual tRNA and mRNA-like properties. Its role is to liberate the mRNA from a stalled ribosome. To accomplish this part of the tmRNA is used as a reading frame that ends in a translation stop signal.
Source: RNAcentral